Long non-coding RNA from Pseudopipra pipra, 2370 nucleotides. RefSeq lists it as uncharacterized. The transcript is spliced from 6 exons. The record is from RefSeq and is a predicted model, not a curated record. NCBI's taxonomy places the organism in Eukaryota, Metazoa, Chordata, Aves, Passeriformes, Pipridae.
CGCCCCGCGCCGCCGCUCUUAUACCCCGCGGCCUCUCGCGAUAGGAGGAGGCACCCCCCGGGGCGCAGGCAUUGGCUGAGCCCCCUGGGCCCGCCCCCGCCGCGUCCCCCCGGGCCGGGGCCGUGAGGGGCGCGCGGCCCGGGACGUUUAAAGGGCAAAUUAAAGUUAUCUGGGGCUGCCGGGGAACGCGGCGUCGGAGCAUGUGCCCGCUGUAUUAAUAGCACAGGAGGGGACACGGGCAGCUGGCAGGAGCGCUCCAGGCCGAGUUAACCGUUCCGUGCAGGCAGAAGGCAGUGGCUGGGGGCUGAGGUCUCCUCAUGAACCACAGCUCUGAGAAGUAGAUAACAGCUAUAACUUCCUUUGUACCUUGGCCAUCCUGAGAAGAUGGAGCCUGUCCCAGCUUCUAAGAAAGGAGAAGAGAGCCCCUCUGAAGAGACGUUUCCCCAAGCAAGGUCCGACAUAGGGGAUCCCUAGAAUUAGACUGAAAGUAAAUAUCCCUUUAACAUCUUGGGGUUUCUGCUGCUGGUUUCACACCCACAUGGACCCAUGGGACAGUGAUGCUCUCAGCUGCUGCCUGACUAUCCAGACUGAUAGGGUCUCCUCAGUGUGUGCACUCAGGUGUCAGCCAGUGCCCCACUGACUGGUGUAUGGUGAGUGAGAGAGAUAUGCUUGUCAUGGUGUUGACCAGAUUUCUUGGAAGGUGUGACAGCUGCAAACAGAAUCAACAAUGUCUGGGCAGGUGUGUGGUCAGAGCAAAACUCAGUUAUGGGCUGAAGCCCUCUGUAUUUUCCAUAAUGUACAAUAAAAUUUUCUCAUGCAGCUAGAAGUAAUGCUUCUUCACAGUGGCAUUCUGAAUGUGUAUUACGUCCUGAUUAAGAAAUUCAGCUCUUCACUGAGUUCUCCUACUUACUUAAUGGGGUUCUGUUAAUGUUUGUUUAUUUCCUAACUGGAGAAACGCCGGGUUGGUAAAUGCAGAAUUCAGAUGCAGCUGCCUGAGUUCCAUGACCAAGAAAAUAGGUCUGAUUUGUUUUCAAAGUUUAGCAAAGCAAAGCUAUUAAAAAGUGAAAGUAUUAAUGUAGACUUUUCUGACAAUGUUUGCAACAUGCCCUUUUUCAGAAAACCUUUUGUGUUGGAAGAAUGUCUAGUAGGUCACGUAGCCCUCUUUUCAUAGUGCAGCAUUCUUUUCAUCAUUCGUGCAAUUCGUGCAUCAUUGUAUAAUGACUGUCGUGUUCAGCUUUCCAUAGCUCUGGGGACUCUUGCAUAUUUUUUAAUUGCCUGCCUCUUCUUAGAGUUGUAAGGACUUGUUCUUUGCUCAAGCUUACCCUUCUAAAUAUUAUUUUAAUAUCAAUCUUAAUGGGAUAAUGCAAGUACUUGGUCUUUGCUGAAUUCAUUUUUUUAUUGUUCUUUGUGUUGCAGUAAUUUUUGAGUAUAAAAAAAUUAUUUAAGUUGAUCUUUUUAUGUUAUGUUUAUGUUUUUAGGUUAAUCUUCUGGUUUCUAGUUGCUAAGUUGCUUCUCUUUGUGGUUUUACUGCUCUAGAUAUUUUAAAAAUCAGUUGUUUCAAGGAGACAGAUUUGAAUUAAGUUAAAUUAUUUCAGUGAUUUAUUUGGUUUCCAUCUGCUAUUUCUGACAAUACAUCUGGUUAUAAUAUAAUUUUCUUUUUAAUAACAGUGUCGAUAUUGUUAGUUCCUGCUCAAAUUGCUACCUCUCCUUGCCUUCAGAUAUUCUGUAGAGUUUCUCAUUCUGCAAUUUUACUUUAGACUAGUCUUUCUUCUGUGAAAUAGUUCAUAAUUUUCUUGCUGACAAUAAUUUUAUUUUCAUAUAUUGUAGGACAAACUGAAAUUAUUUCUGACAACAGUAUAUUUAACUGAAUCACAGCUUUGUACUCAGAUAACCCGCACUGCAGUAGCAAAACAAGGUUUGGUGUGGAGAUUACUGAUGAAGAGUUUGAGCUGCUACUUGACAGAAUCCCCCUUGAUGAAGAUGGAAAUGUCAGAUACCCCCAGUUCAUGGCCAGGUUUGAUUUCUGGAUCCUUCUGGACAAAAUGGACAGUAUCCUUCUGGACAGCACAGAGCUGGAUAAACACAUCAUGCGAUAGGUGAGCAAUUGGCUCACGGAUCAGGCGCAAAGAGUAGUGGUGAAUGGGGGAACAUCAGACUGGUGAUCUGUCUCUAGUGGCAUUCUGCAGGGCUCCAUCUUAGAACAAAUGCUCUUCAAUGUGCCCAUAAAAAUCUUGGAUGCAGGACUCAAAAGUAGACAAAGUAAGUUUGCUGACAACACUAAACUGAGAGGAGCUGUUGACUCCCUCGAAGGCAGGGAGGCCCUGCAGAGAGACCUCGACAAAUCAGAGGACUGGGCAAUCACCAACCAGG